Molecule: small nucleolar RNA, 100 nt
Organism: Nycticebus coucang (slow loris)
Lineage: Eukaryota; Metazoa; Chordata; Mammalia; Primates; Lorisidae
Product: small nucleolar RNA U13
Exons: 1
Source: RefSeq, a predicted model, not a curated record
AUUCUUUUGUAGUUUGUGGGUGUGAUAAUUGGGUUUUCACACUCCUGUGUGAGAUGUGCCUCCCUUAAACAUUGUUAUGAUAUUGGCACAUUACCUGACA